UGCAUCUCAAUGCUGCUGAGAUAUGUGACACCGGUGGUCAGAAAAGGCCACUAAUUUCCAUUGCUGUAGCUGAAGGACUUAAAUGGUGAUAUAGACCGGUCAGAAAAGGAAGCGCCGCAAGUGAGACGCUGGAUGGCCAAGUCUUUGCGAUAGCCAGGGUGGUCAUACCUGCCGAGCUGCCUGCAAUUCAUCCCAGCGUGGCAUGGAACUGUUUUUGGUCGAGUGUCCAGCAAGAAUGCUGUGUUAUAUACAGUGAACCCUUCA
Molecule: long non-coding RNA, 264 nt
Organism: Pollicipes pollicipes
Lineage: Eukaryota; Metazoa; Arthropoda; Thecostraca; Pollicipedomorpha; Pollicipedidae
Exons: 2
Source: RefSeq, a predicted model, not a curated record